This 330-nucleotide ribosomal RNA is filed under the name uncultured bacterium. RNAcentral describes it as "bacterial SSU rRNA". It matches the Rfam family "Bacterial small subunit ribosomal RNA", at positions 568 to 898 of the family's 1533-position model. The record is from RNAcentral.
UGUGUAGGCGGUUCUCUAAGUCUGGUGUGAAAUCUCCCGGCUCAACUGGGAGGGUGCGCCGAAAACUGGAGGGCUAGAGUGCGGGAUGGGAAAGUGGAAUUCCUGGUGUAGCGGUGAAAUGCGUAGAUAUCAGGAGGAACACCUGUGGUGUAGACGGCUUUCUGGACCGCAACUGACGCUGAGACACGAAAGCGUGGGUAGCAAACAGGAUUAGAUACCCUGGUAGUCCACGCCCUAAACGAUGCAUAUUUGGUGUGGGUCAUUCAUUUGAUCCGUGCCGGAGCUAACGCGUUAAAUAUGCCGCCUGGGGAGUACGGUCGCAAGGCUGAA